UUGAGGAGGACGGGCAUGGGAGUCUCAGCCACAGCGCCUCGGGUAGGUCCCAUUUGAUCAUUUUUUAUCUCUGUCACCUUUUUUUUGUUGGUGUAAUCAGGAUGUUUUGUUGUCUGUGUAAACACAGUAGGUGAAGUGGAGUUUCCCUUUUCAGCUCCAAAGUCAACCAACAAUUCUUGAGCUCUGUGUCUUAUUUUUACUGAGAAAGAUGGCCAUCUGAUGUAGAAAUAAAACGAAAGAAGCAAUUGACGCAACAUACAAGCAUGAUCAGGAUACAUUUUUAUAGUAUCUUUAAUUAACCUGUUGUUAAUCCAGUUGUACCCAGAAAUGUGCCGAUAGACAUGUCUAUGAAUAAACAGGAUUUGUAAAUAAUCAACCAGUCCAGCUAAGUUCCUUCCUAAUAAUUCCAGAAUCAAAAUAACUUACCUGAUUUUGCUCAGUGAAUAUUCCGAUGGAAAAUACAAUAGUAAAAAGCCAGCUGAGAGCAGAAGUAUUAAAUAAAAAAGCCUUGCGAUUUUUUCAGCCAUCCCUGACACUGAGAACUUUAGGCUUUAUGGCUUAAUUUAAGACUAACAGCUGUCACAGUCCGCGCUCUCUCUGAGUUUCUCCACUCUGCCUCUCAUCUGAUCUUACCCUCUGACACGCCCCUCUCAUCAACAUCUGCUCACUAAACCUGCUCACCAGGGCCGGUUCCGGGAGGGGGGGGGAAAUCUCAAUAUCGCCUAGGGCAGCCAAUGGGCUAGAACCGGCCCUGCUGCUCACACACCUGCAUCCAUAGGGAGGGAGAGCAAGCGCAUUUUGUGGCAUUUGCAAGCAGUGGCAAGCACUUCCGGUGGCAGCUGCAGAUGCCACUACUUUCUGCAUGCCACUAGAUGCCACUAGCUACCAGAUGCCAGUAGCUACUUGUCGAUGGCUGCUGAAAGGGAAUAACCACUGGAUGCCGAGGCAAACGAAUGUUUAAGCUCUUCCUUGAUGAACGCCCAAAUCUUUUCAUCCAACUCAAUGUACCUCUUGUUGGCAGCGACUGGCUCUGGCAUGAGGCACAUUAUUUGAUGAUCUUCGUACCAGUUCACAUCCUCAAUUGGAGAUGGCCAGUAGAACUUAUUCAGGUCAUACCUGCCUGACCUGUGCAUGCAUUUGAUCUGGAUAUUAUGGUUCUCCACCAUCAGGAUAAUGCCAGGAUAUGGCUGCCCAUCAUGCAGUCAGACAUCAGACUUCAGGACGUCUGGAGAAAGGAAACUAAAGGGAUCUUCUCUUAGAAAACAUUAGCAUUGAAAUCUGUCCACAGAGCGGAUGCUUGGUGAUCUGUCUGGAGAAGAGGUUGGGGUCAAGACUGCCUGGACUACCCUCAUUCGCUGCCUGCAUCUGGCUUGGUACACACGCCAUGCCUUUCGCUGAGCUCUCCUCUCUCUUUCACUUAACUCUCCUACAUUCUUCCUUUUUUUGUUGACAAUAUCACUGACAUAACCCUCACGCCGUUUCUUCAAGUACUCUGCCCUACGUACAGGGUCUGUAUCUCUCCGCUGCCUGUAUAGUUUCUGCUUUUCAGCAGCACUCAAUUUGGCCAUACCUGAAAUAUUGAAAAGUACAAUAGCAAAACAAAAUAACUAUACAAUAACUAUACAAUACAAAUAACUAUAAAAUAAUUAAACUGUUUUGGUAAAGUUUUUUUCUCCACUUGAUGUUUUUGUUGGACCUUUUAUACAGGAAUGUCAUUGGUGUUACCAGUUUAGCCAGGAAGAAGAGUAACACCAAUGAUAGUAACACCAAUGACAGUUUGGGGGAAAAACUACAAUUAAAACAAAAUGGCUGCUGUGUGUGAGACCACAUGCUUUCAGUGUUAUCAAAAACUUAAAUUUAUUUGAUGUAUUCAAGUUUUAUUUUAAUUUUUCUCAACCCCAUGGCUAUAAACUGAGUAACACCAAUGACGGGCUUCACAGCUUCAUAUACAAAUCUAGAAGAAAUCAUGACAUUUUUUAAAAAAUGAAGCAAGACAUCUGACUUACCUCAUGUGCUUGACCACUUGACCACAGGAAAUUACCUCUUGACCCGAAGGAAGUCCAAAGAAGUGACAUGCAAAUUUCAAAAUAAAGUGUUUUGUGUAGCGAUAACACCAAUGACAUAAUUUUGGGUGACAGAUAUUUAUUUGAUAUUAUUAAUAAUAUUUAACUAUUUCUUAACUAUUUAUAUGUCCUAGUCAUUGUAUGUAAUGUUAAUGAACAUAUAAAUUUGAUUAAUUUAAUUAAAAAAUGUAUUUUUAAAUGAAAUUAUACACUUCCACUUCCAUGUAUUGUAAUUGUGACACAGCGAUUCUAUGAAUGUGCCAUUUUAAAUAAGUUGAUAAAAUUAAAUAUUAAUCAUUAGACCAAUAGAGUUUAUUUUUAUAUUACCAAAACAGUCUUUACUAAUUGAAUAUAUAUAAUGUAUGUGAUUAUCAGGACAACUUUGGCAGUUUUGGAGUCUACAAAAGUGUGUGACAGCAAUAUCCACCGUUUUUGGAGAAUGACCCUGCUACGAUGAACCAGGUGUAUUAUUACUAGUUAAGAACGACAAAUAAUUAACAUAAAGAAAUGUCUGUAUUGACACAGCAACUUGUAGACUGGUGUCAUUAGGCUUGGCUACAGACUUCGGUGUGCUGUAACUGAUUUCAGUUCCCACUGCCAGUGAGAUGCCAAGGUUUAUACCUUCUAAAUAAGGCACAAACAGAUUUUGAUAUAAUACAUCAGGUUGUAUUUACUGUAUUUGUCCAACAUUUUUAAAUAUGUGCGUUACAGCAGUGUUUUUAAAAGGCAUAGAACAUGAAUACAACUAAAAUAAUAAUAAUAAAAGGUUGUCUUUGAGAAGGAUAACGUCUCCUUCUUGCAGAUUUUGGUGGGACUUAGUCCAUUUUUUUCCGGCUGUGCAAAGUUGACAAGUAUACUUUUCUCCAACGGCUCCAGAACAUGUUGGACAAGGCUUGUACUUGUCUCCACUGCUUGGUGAGGAGGUCUCUGUCCGUAAAGUCUCCUGGAGGAGGCGGGACGCCGACUUUCUGAGUUAAUAGGAGGGAUGCUGUGAGAAUGAAUGGAUCCUCUGGGUCACUUGAAACCGGAACUAGUGGUCUUGCGUUCAUAAUUGCUGCCACUUCUGCCAUUAAUGUGCACAAGACUUCAUGUGUCAGGUGAGUGCCCUGUUCAAGAAGCAUUGAAUCCAGGAUCCUUCGGGCUACUCCAAUGAGACGUUCCCACGAACACCCAGGAACACCCUUGUUGGUGUAGGUACCUCUGCACAGUGGUGUCUGGUUGGUCUGCGCUCAUCUUGAGCUCUCUGCAGGCCCCAAUGAAAUUUGUACCACAGUCUGACCUUAGUUGUUUGGCUGGUCCUCUUAUGGCAAAGAAGCACCUCAAGGCGUUGAUGCAGCUUGAGGCGUCCAUUGAGGCAAUCACCUCGAUGUGAACAGCCCUGGAGCUCAUACAACAGAACAAUAAGGCCCACCGCUUGCUCUCAGACUGCGCUCCUCUUGUACGUCUGGUAGUGGUGUGCCAUGGUCCGAAGACAUCCAGCCCCACAUACGUGAAGGGAGGGCAGGCCUUGAGACGCUCUGGUGGCAGAUCUGCCAUUUGUUGCUCCUGCAUCCGUCCUCUGAGUCUGCGACAAGUCACGCAUUUGUGAAGAGUUGAGUUAAUGAGCCCCUUACCUCCCAGGAUCCAGAGUCCUGCCGCUCUCACGGCGCCUUCUGUUAGGUGCCUGCCCUGAUGUCUCACCUCUGGCCUCCUCCUCAGGUUGCGUUGAAGUGAUUUAAACCGUCUAAGCGCUUGAUCACGGUUGUUAGGCAACCGUUGUCUAGGCUGCCUGAACGGUAACGGAGCGACCCAACUGAGUGAAUCAUUUCUGUAGACUUCUUUGUCCAUUAUUCUCAAGAAGAUCUCAUCUUCAACUGAAGGUGCUAGCCUGUUGUCUUGUUCGGUGCGGUCAAAUGCAUUUUGACCCAGCCGAUCUCCUUUAGCCCUGCUGGGCCCUAAGACACCGUUCCUAGGCUCUUUGCCAUGAAUCUCUUCUCUGACAUGCAAAAAGCUUGUGCAAGGUUGGAGGAGAGAAGGCCGACGACAAUCAAACACUGUUGUCCUGUAAGUGCUGACAUUUGGUUUGUGUGCGUUCCCUAGACAGACCUCUCCAACUAACACCCAUCCUAGGUCAAGGCGUUGAGCAAAGGGGGCGUUGAGAGGGCCGUUUAUUUGCUCCCUUACCUUACGCGCUCUAAUUAUGUCUCUACCAAGCAGCAGGAGGAUCUCAGCAGUGGGGUCCAACUCCGGGAUGUGUUCUGCUACUUUGACGAGGUGAGGUUGAUGAAGAGCGACGAUCGGCGUGGGGAUUUCAGCCCGGUUGUCAGGUAAGUCGUUACAUUCAAUAAGCGGGGGGAGAGGGAUUGUAACUUUCCCAUUGAGUGCUUCGACCAUAAAAUCUUCAGCCCUUCUGCCAAACGUUUCUACUGUGCCGGAACAUGUUCUCAGUAGGUAAGGAUAGGACUCACACUAAAUGUUGAACAGGUCAAAGAAACUGGACCUAGCCAAUGACCGGUUGCUUUGGUCAUCUAAAACAAUGUAUGCUUUGAUGGCUUUAUCUGGACAGCUCUUGUGAUACACCUUUCCUAGACAUAUCUUGGAGCAUGACCGCCCAACUUGUCCUGCACCACAUACUUCAGUGCAAUUUGAGCUGACGACUUCCGUGCUGUCGUCAUCCUCUUCUCCCUCCCCACCAUUCUGUGAUGAGGGUACAGGAGCCGUGUUUUGAGGUGCAGGGCCCGGAUGCAUAGCUGAUACAUGUUUUGUGCUGUCACACUCAGAACAUUUCACUGAUGUGGUGCAGUCCUUUGCCACAUGACUAUUUGAGCCACAGCACUCUCUUUCAGAAAGUUUCUCCUGUCUUGAAGAUCUUUGGCUCUAAAGGCUUUGCAUUUGUUCAGUGGAUGUGGCUUUGCGUGUAUUGGGCAGCUCUUAUUUGGAUCACUGGAAGUGCUUGACUCUGCUGGGGAGACAUUGGUCUUAUGAACUGCAAUGGGGUUCUUGGUGCUUUUAAAAUGGGAACUUUCAGCCUUCAAAGAGGGCCCACUAGCAUUUAAAAAGGCAAAGCUGGGAUCAUUCCUUUUCUUUGCCUCAUAGCACAUGAACCUAGUAAAGAAAUCAAAUAGUGGAAACCGUCCUCCAUUUCCUUUUUUGUACCUUGAACCCGCAGAGAUCCAUUUUUCUUGCAGUCCAUAAGGCAGCUUGGCUACUAUAGGUUCGAUGCCGCGUGCAGUAUCUAGGUAAGACAAACCUGGGAGGUAGCCGUCUUCCUUAGCACACUGCACUUCCAUCAGCAGAUCUGCUAGCUCCCUUAGCUUCAGAUUUUCUUUCACCGAAAGCCUAGGGAAUUUGUCCAGACGAGUGAAGAGGGCCUUUUCAACUACCUCUGGUGCUGUGUAGCAUUCCUGAAGACGUUCCCAGGCUUUCCUGAGUGCUAUGUCUGGACUUGCUAUGUGCACUGAACGUAAGCGUUUCACAUGGUUGCUGGAUUCUUUGCCAAGCCAUCGAGUCAUUAAGUCCAGCUCCUCGGUAGCAGUGAGACCCAGGCCUUGGGUAGCACUUUUAUAUGAAGACUGCCAAGCACGGUAAUUUUCAGGUUGAUCAUCGAACUCAUACAAGCUUACACUCACCAGGUCACGUCGAGCUAAAUAUUGUGCGAGACGUUCAGUUGUGCGCACACUUUGGUCAGUUUUUAGCUGAGGGAAAAAGUGCGGAGCAGAAACAUUCAAGUCAAAGUGAAAUGUCUUUGAAUUUAUCUGAACAUCCUCUCUGUCAUAUAUGUCUGACAGUUUGACUACCGUUGGAACAUACGCAUAGUCUGGGCCAUCCUCUACUAAGUCCACAUUACCAGUGUUAUUAGCCUGUGGUGGCUCAUGUGAAUAAACAGGAACCUGCUGGUAUGAAGAAAAAGGGUUGUUUGGACUGAAACAUAGAGUGGCAGCUGUAGCAGGCUGUAAAGUCUGAGGGCUAGCCUUCGUAGCUGCUCGCUCUGGGGAGCUAGUUGGGGCAAAAUGAGCUUGGCUGUAUUCGCUUGUCCGCUCCAUUUUAAUUUCUUCUGAUGGGCCCGUUUCAUCCAACAGAAUACACCUCUCCAUUGUGUGAGCUGCAACCGAUGUAUUUGACGUGUAUAGAUUCUGUCUGUUUACUUUCCACUUUACAGGAAAAUGGCCGUUUCUUACCCCAAACUCCGCGACAGCUUGCCAAAAUAAAAGUCCCUUAAAAAUUUAGCCUUAAUGGCAACACAGACUGGAUGAGUCAGAACUUUCUCCAAUUAAACAAUGACAAAACUGAGGUAAUUGUUUUUGGAGCGAAGGAGGAACGACAAAAAGUCAGUGCUGAGCUUCAGUCAGCAAUGUUCAAAACAACAGCUAACGCCAGAAACCUGGGUGUAGUCAUGGACUCUGACCUGAAUUUCAACAGUCACAUUAAAACAAUCACUAAGUCCGCCUACUAUCACCUGAAGAAUAUAUCUAGGAUUAAAGGACUAAUGUCACAGCAGGAUCUAGAAAAACUUGUCCAUGCUUUCAUCUUCAGUACACUGAACUACUGUAACGGUGUCUUUACAGGUCUCACUAAGAACUCCAUUAGAAAGCUGCAGCUGAUUCAGAACGCUGCGACUCGAAUCCUCACUAACACUAAGAGAGUGGAUCACAUCACUCCAGUUCUGAGGUCUUUACACUGGCUUCCUGUCUGUCAAAGAAUUGAUUUCAAAGUUCUGCUGCUGGUUUCUAAAGCAUUGAAUGGUUUAGGCCCAAAAUACAUUUGUGAUCUCCUGCUACAUUAUGAACCAUCCAGAACUCUCAGGUCUUCUGGAAUGGGUCCACUUUCUGUCCCCAGACUUAGAACUCAACAAGGAGAAGCAGCGUUCAGUUAUUAUGAUCCAAAUAUCUGGAACAAACUCCCAGAACCCCGCUGCAACUCUUACUACUUUCCAGGCUGAAAACAUUUCUUUUUGCCGCUGCUUUUAAUUGAACUGUUUUGAUCUUACAUUGCACUGUGACUUUUAUUCAUGUAUUUUAUACCUGUUGUGUUUAUUUCAUUAUCUUUGCUAUUAAUUGACUGUUUUUAAAUGCCUUUGUAAUGUGUUUAUACUGCACUAUUUUUUUAAUGCUCUUAAUGUCUUUCAUGUUUGUAAAGCACUUUGAAUUGCCUUGUGUUGAAAGGUGCUAUAUAAAUAAACUUGCCUUGCCUUCAGCAGCUAUCGGCAAGUACUGGCAUCUGUGGUUGCUAGUGGCGCUGAUGCCACUAGCUGCCUCGGAAAGUAGUGGCAUCUGCAGCUGCCACCGGAAGUACUUGCCACUGCUUGCAAAUGCCACAAAUUGAGCCAGGCCCUACUGCUGAUUUGUUGUUGCAGACUCUGCCUGUUUCGCACCUAGCUUUUAUCUGAAUUACCCAUUGAACGUCUUAGCCUUCUGUACCCCCACCUUGAUUCCAGCCUGUGUGUUUCCUGGUUCCUGUUUGCCGGUUCUGGUGGCUGCUAGGCAUUUCACCAGUUUGUGUUCCAUUAUAACUUUUUCUUUAUUUCCUGCUGUGGAUUUAUCCUGCCCUGAACUGAGAGUCAACAUCAGUUCUCCUGAGAGUUUCCGGUGGACAUUUUGUCUCUCACAUUGCAUACUGCUUUAUACAUGUACCUGCAUCUAGUUCAAUAAAAGACAUUACAAACUAA
This is a long non-coding RNA of Eleginops maclovinus (Patagonian blennie), 7707 nucleotides long. RefSeq lists it as uncharacterized. Lineage: Eukaryota; Metazoa; Chordata; Actinopteri; Perciformes; Eleginopidae. The record is from RefSeq and is a predicted model, not a curated record. The transcript has 2 exons.